UCAAGAAUUCAACAUUUAAUUACAAUGAAUUCUCGCCUCAAAUCCACUCCCAGAAGUCUGAAUUAGCAAACCUUCUUUUCUCUCUCUUUGCUCACAUGGAGGUUCUCCAUUUUUCACUUUUCUUGCUGCACAACAUUCCAAAUUUUGAAGGCUACAAGAGAAGCCUUACCAUUUUGGGUAACUCUCUGCAAAAAAUCAAAAAGCUCUGCUGAGUUCGUCCAGAAUCCCCAACGUUAAAAUUCAAACGGCUCCAUUUCAUCUCUUUUGGGGAAAAUCUGAAUUUCAAACCCAAAUCAAGAACUCUAGUUUUUCACGUAUAAAAACCAGCACUUGGAGUCCAUCUGGAUAGAGUUUCAUAAACCUUCGGCUUCGGUGAGAAAGGAGUAAAUCCUAGACAGCCGCCUUAGUUUACUGCCCCGAUAGAGGUCAGCACUUUCUCCUUUUUCUUUUAUUUUAAAUUCUUAAACAUGAUUAAUAUGCUGGCCAAACCAUGUUUUAUUCUUUGUGCUAAAUAGCAAGACGACCUAACUACUUUACUUAAUUUAGUUUGUUUGGCUAUUGAAUAGAUAAUAUCAUGUCAAGAAGCUUCGUUAGAAACACGAUUCGAUGUUAUGUCUAAAGUGAUAUCAAUAGCAAGUUACUGUUAUUUUGCUUGGUGAAAGUCACUGUGAACUGUUGCACAGAUAUAUUUAUUUGUCCUUAUUCAAAGAUCAUGUAGAAACCAUGUAUUGUGACUUUUUAUCAUUUGUUUAAAGAAAAAUUCUGCCUUAAGUUGCCUCAUACGAAGUAGAAGCUCGUUUAGCUAUUCAAAGUAAGGUGUCUUUGCUAGUUGUAAAAGUUUCUUCUAGAUUUUCAUGCCAGAAAUAUGUUAAUAUAUUUUCUGAUUUAUUUAAUAAAUAAAAAAUAUAUAUCUUAAUCUCUCAUAGCAGAAGCACGUUUGGUGUCGAAGAACAAUAGAAGUUAAGAGGAGUUUGACAUUGAUGAACCUUUUAAAUUAUUUUCCUUCCUUACUGUUACUAUCGAGUGUGCCAUUAGGAUAUUACUUGAAAUACAGUAAGAAAGUAUGUGCUUUGUGUGUUAAAUGAUAUCAUGCGUAUUAGUUGUCUUAAAAAGGUCUGCUGCUGCUUCGGCAUUUCCUUUAGAAAGCAUGCUACUAGGACUUUAAUAUCCAAUUUUAAGACUUAACAUGGAAGUGGGUAACCAUGUUGUUCAAAGUGUCAAGGAUUAUGUUCACCAUAUUAAUCUGUUCGACCCUUUAGAUUUCACAUGAACAUGGAAAGUUAAUAUUCUGAGUUAUUAUUUCUGUUAGAAAACAUGUAUAAAGACCAUAAAUCUUGCUGUAAAUUUUGUCCAAGUCUAUUUCUAACUCCUCUCUUUCUAAUUUCUUGAUUUUCUCUUUCUUUGAUUUGCAUAUGCACUUUGGAGCAAUAUGAGUCUUAAUGCAAGACUCUCCCAUUCGCGAGCAUGGAGUCAUCACAUAUCAACUUCUAAAGUCACCGGAUAACAAGAAAAACAAGCGAAACGCUUGGGGCGCCUAUGAUGUCCUUUUAUUUCUUUUGCUAGUCAUUUUAUCUAUCUUUAUGAUUGUUAAUUUAUUUCUAUAUUUUGAGUUUAUUUUAGUUUGAGGUUUAAUCAUCUAGUUUCACUGAUCAUAUAAUCUUUAGGAAUUUAAGAUCGCUAAUUUAUUAACCUUUUUAUCUA
Non-coding RNA from Nicotiana tabacum (common tobacco), 1701 nucleotides. NCBI's taxonomy places the organism in Eukaryota, Viridiplantae, Streptophyta, Magnoliopsida, Solanales, Solanaceae. The record is from RefSeq and is a predicted model, not a curated record.